GACGAACGCUGGCGGCGUGCCUAAUACAUGCAAGUAGAACGCUGAAGAGAGGAGCUCGCUCUUCUUGGAUGAGUUGCGAACGGGUGAGUAACGCGUAGGUAACCUGCCUUGUAGCGGGGGAUAAAUAUUGGAAACGAUAGCUAAUACCGCAUAACAAUGGAUGACACAUGUCAUUUAUUUGAAAGGGGCAAUUGCUCCACUACAAGAGGGACCUGCGUUGUAUUAGCUAGUAGGUGAGGUAAUGGCUCACCUAGGCGACGAUACAUAGCCGACCUGAGAGGGUGAUCUGCCACACUGGGACUGAGACACGGCCCAGACUCCUACGGGAGGCAGCAGUAGGGAAUCUUCGGCAAUGGGGGCAACCCUGACCGAGCAACGCCGCGUGAGUGCAGAAGGUUUUCGGAUCGUAAAGCUCUGUUGUAAGUCAAGAACGGGUGUGAGAGUGGAAAGUUCACACUGUGACGGUAGCCUACCAGAAAGGGACGGCUAACUACGUG
This 497-nucleotide ribosomal RNA is filed under the name uncultured bacterium. RNAcentral's name for it is "partial 16S ribosomal RNA". It matches the Rfam family "Bacterial small subunit ribosomal RNA", at positions 28 to 507 of the family's 1533-position model. The record is from RNAcentral.